RNAcentral lists this ribosomal RNA (850 nucleotides) under uncultured bacterium. Its description in RNAcentral is "bacterial SSU rRNA". It matches the Rfam family "Bacterial small subunit ribosomal RNA", at positions 46 to 897 of the family's 1533-position model. The record is from RNAcentral.
GCUUUCCUGCAGUCGACGGUAACAGGGAGCUUGCUCCGCUGACGAGUGGCGAACGGGUGAGUAAUAUAUCGGAACGUACCCAGAAGUGGGGGAUAACGUAGCGAAAGUUACGCUAAUACCGCAUACGAUCCACGGAUGAAAGUAGGGGACCUUCGGGCCUUAUGCUUUUGGAGCGGCCGAUAUCUGAUUAGCUAGUUGGUGAGGUAAAGGCUCACCAAGGCAACGAUCAGUAGCUGGUCUGAGAGGACGACCAGCCACACUGGAACUGAGACACGGUCCAGACUCCUACGGGAGGCAGCAGUGGGGAAUUUUGGACAAUGGGCGCAAGCCUGAUCCAGCAAUGCCGCGUGAGUGAAGAAGGCCUUCGGGUUGUAAAGCUCUUUUGUCAGGGAAGAAACGGCUGUGGCUAAUAUCCACGGCUAAUGACGGUACCUGAAGAAUAAGCACCGGCUAACUACGUGCCAGCAGCCGCGGUAAUACGUAGGGUGCAAGCGUUAAUCGGAAUUACUGGGCGUAAAGCGUGCGCAGGCGGUCUUGUAAGUCUGACGUGAAAUCCCCGGGCUCAACCUGGGAAUUGCGUUGGAGACUGCAAGGCUAGAAUCUGGCAGAGGGGGGUAGAAUUCCACGUGUAGCAGUGAAAUGCGUAGAGAUGUGGAGGAACACCGAUGGCGAAGGCAGCCUCCUGGGUCAAGAUUGACGCUCAUGCACGAAAGCGUGGGGAGCAAACAGGAUUAGAUACCCUGGUAGUCCACGCCCUAAACGAUGUCUACUAGUUGUCGGGUUUUAAUUAACUUGGUAACGCAGCUAACGCGUGAAGUAGACCGCCUGGGGAGUACGGUCGCAAGAUUAA